UUAUGAAAUACUUGUUCAUUUGAGCACUACACCAAUCAUGUCAAGUACACGUACCCUGCAAGUGUUGGCUGUAUUCCUGAUAGUGUGUGUUCUGACUGAAUAUGUCUUUGCUGACGCCUUACCUGAUGAAAAUGAGCUUGUAGACCAAAGUAGAAUUCGCCGAGACCCAGG
Molecule: long non-coding RNA, 171 nt
Filed under: Anneissia japonica
Lineage: Eukaryota; Metazoa; Echinodermata; Crinoidea; Comatulida; Comatulidae
Description: uncharacterized LOC117101692
Source: RNAcentral